This 462-nucleotide ribosomal RNA is filed under the name uncultured bacterium. RNAcentral's name for it is "bacterial SSU rRNA". It matches the Rfam family "Bacterial small subunit ribosomal RNA", at positions 329 to 792 of the family's 1533-position model. The record is from RNAcentral.
GCCCAGACUCCUACGGGAGGCAGCAGUGGGGAAUAUUGCACAAUGGGGGGAACCCUGAUGCAGCGACGCCGCGUGGGUGAAGGAGCACCUCGGUGCGUAAAGCCCUAUCGGCAGGGAAGAAAAGCGAACAGGUUCGCCUGGACGGUACCUGACUAAGAAGACCCGGCUAACUACGGGCCAGCAGCCGCGGGAAUACGUAGGGGGCAAGCGUUAUCCGGAUUCACUGGGUGUAAAGGGAGCGUAGACGGCGACGCAAGUCUGGAGUGAAAGCCCGGGGCCCAACCCCGGGACUGCAUUGGGAACUGGCGCGCUGGAGUGCCGGAGGGGUAGGCGGAACUCCUAGUGUAGCGGUGAAAUGCGUAGAUAUUAGGAGGAACACCAGUGGCGAAGGCGGCCUACUGGACGGUGACUGACGCUGAGGCUCGAAAGCGUGGGGAGCAAACAGGAUUAGAUACCCGAGUA